Molecule: ribosomal RNA, 408 nt
Filed under: uncultured bacterium
Lineage: Bacteria
Description: partial 16S ribosomal RNA
Rfam family: Bacterial small subunit ribosomal RNA
Source: RNAcentral
GACGAACGCUGGCGGCGUGCCUAAUACAUGCAAGUCGACCUUAGUGGCGAACGGGUGAGUAACACGUGGGUAACCUGCCCAUCAGAAGGGGAUAACACUUGGAAACCGGUGCUAAUACCGGAUACUGAUGGAUUGACCCGCGGUGCAUUAGCUAGUUGGUGAGGUAACGGCUCACCAAGGCCACGAUGCAUAGCCGACCUGAGAGGGUGAUCGGCCACAUUGGGACUGAGACACGGCCCAGACUCCUACGGGAGGCAGCAGUAGAGAAUCUUCGGCAAUGGGCGAAAGCCUGAUCAAGCCAUGCUGCGUGUGUGAAGAAGGUCUUCGGAUUGUAAAGCACUUUAAGUUGGGAAGCGUUACCAACAGAAUAAGCACCGGCUAACUUCGUGCCAGCAGCCGCGGUAAUAC